GAAGAAUUUGUACAUAUUUUAUUCAAGAGAAUGCCUUGUAGUAUUUUGUAAUUGGAGGUCGAAAGCAAACUCGUAGUACUUUUAUUCGUAUCUCAUUUUUAUUUCUAUUUUUUUAGGUGGGAACGAUCUAUAAUCUCUUGUGUGUUUAUUUUAUUUCAUUGUGUUUUACCUAAAUUUAAAUGUUUUAAAAAGCAAACUAGAUCGAAUACGCAAUCGUGACCUUCACAGGACUUGGAAAGUGUCUCGCACCUUCUCCCCGAGUCAAAUGAGCUCCUUUAUCUAAAUCUCUGGUGUAGACUUAGUUUUAGAGUCCAAACUGUUUAAAAAGAAAAAUUAUUUUUAUAAAAUGGUUACCUGACACAUCGACACUAACGUCAGGUGGUGACUCUAAGUUAAUCCUUUUGAAUAUAAAUUUUGUCACUUUAUAAUUGAAAACUCUUUUGAGCUUUGCAAAAUUCUUUUAUUUAUUUAAGAGGGGUUAGUGAGGUUUGAUAAAAAAAAAAGGGGGGGUGUGACAUCCCUGGCGACUCUGUUGGGGAAUUGCAGUUUCGAACUAGUACUUGACUUUGUUUGAUUUAUUCGAUUGAGGUUUUUUUAUGUUUUAUUUAUUUGAUUUAUUUUUGUUUAUGUCACAUUAUUUGCUAGUUGUUUUAUGUGUUUAUAGUUUUUCCUUUAUGUGUUACUGCUUUAUAAAUAUCAUCAUAUGUAUUACUCGAUCAAUUAUUUUUGCAACAGGUCCGGAGUACGCAUCGCGUACAUGGACUCUUCAUUGAGUCACCCUUAUUUUAGGAGGGGUUGCCGGAUGUAUGGAGUUUAUGGAAAGCUUGAGCAGCCACCAUCGACCAUACUCUCUCCCAAAUCGCUUUGUUAGUUAACUCGAAUCUUAGGUCAUCCUUUAGGUCAUUCUUAUUUGCAUCAUGUCAUUUAAACCUAGUAGGGUUCGAUCCUAGGUACGGUGCUCCGUCGUAGGAGGUGUAUUCAAAUUUUGUCAAAAAUGGGCAUGUGACCCAAAAUGAUAUUUAAUCAAAUUAUGUACUAAAUGUUACAUCUGUGAGUGUAGAAAGAUCAUUUAGCGGAUAUGUUUUGAAAAGAAGGGUGAAAAAUAAGGCCCGAGUAUAUUUUUAUUUCACAACUUUCUCAAGAACAAUUGAAAAACCCAAAAAAAAUAAGAAUGAGAAAUUCAAAAAGAUUUUACAUUUUCCAUUAUUUUUCCAACAAAAAAAAAGACAAAAAGUAUUGGUUUUUUAAAAUUAGUUGCAUAUUCCUGAACUACGCGAAUCUGAUUCUUGUCUUUUGAGGUACGAUAUCAACCCACAUAGGUUAUGGUCUUCAUAGUAAGUCUUAGGUAUUUGGCUUUGCAGGGCUUAGCCAAAUCUUGCAUAUCCAGCCACUUUUUGCCACAUCGAUCAUUCUUGCAAAAUGGGGUAAUUUUCGUGAAAGUUUCAAUAAACCAUGUCUUAGGAUCCAGAGUCUACAACUAGGAGUCAUAUUACUUUAAGUUCCGUCCUUAUUGAGUUUGCAUCUUGCCACUUCUGACCAUAUCAGUCGUUUUUGAAAAAAUGGGUUAUUUUUGCAAAUUAAUUUUGGGCCAUGAUUAUUGGACAUUUGAAGCCAUAUAAGCCUUGGUGAGACAUUUUCCAUGCCUUAGAGGUCAGUCGUUUUGAGUUCACAUUUCUAGCCACCCUGGCCACAUAUGUCAUUUUGCAAAAAUAGCCCAAUUAUGUUUUCCAUGUAUCUAAUAGGAGAUAUCAUGGUAUCUUGAUUCACUAAUCUAUUUGAUCCUACUUUUCUCAUUCAUGUGUGGAUCCAUGUACGAGGACUCGAGCAUGACAUUUACCCCAGGACAAUUGCAUUCUGGAGCUACUUGAGGAGACUUUUUAUGUUUUGAGCCUGUUUUUGAGUCUUUUGGAUGGUUUAAGAGUUUAU
Molecule: long non-coding RNA, 1926 nt
Filed under: Nicotiana benthamiana
Lineage: Eukaryota; Viridiplantae; Streptophyta; Magnoliopsida; Solanales; Solanaceae
Description: long non-coding RNA (NBEN_LNC032657)
Source: RNAcentral